GAUGAACGCUAGCGGCAGGCUUAAUACAUGCAAGUCGAGGGGCAGCAUGGUGGUAGCAAUACCACUGACGGCGACCGGCAAACGGGUGCGGAACACGUACGCAACUUACCCUUAACUGGGGGAUAGCCCGGGGAAACCCGGAUUAAUACCUCGUAACAUAUUGUGGUGGCAUCACCAUAUUAUUAUAGCUUUAUUGUGGUUAAGGAUGGGCGUGCGGCUGAUUAGGUAGUUGGCAGGGAACGGCCUACCAAGCCUGCGAUCAGUAACUGGUGUGAGAGGAUGAUCAGCCACAUUGGGACUGAGACACGGCCCAAACUCCUACGGGAGGCAGCAGUGGGGAAUAUUGGACAAUGGGCGCAAGCCUGAUCCAGCCAUGCCGCGUGAGUGAUGAAGGCCCUAGGGUUGUAAAGCUUCUUUUGUGCGGGAAGAUAAUGACGGUACCGCAAGAAUAAGCCCGGCUAACUUCGUGCCAGCCGCCG
This 479-nucleotide ribosomal RNA is filed under the name uncultured bacterium. Its description in RNAcentral is "bacterial SSU rRNA". It matches the Rfam family "Bacterial small subunit ribosomal RNA", at positions 28 to 517 of the family's 1533-position model. The record is from RNAcentral.